CAGGAGAACGGUGGCCAGUGGCAGGAUCACCCGUGUGCUACAGAGCACUGGGGACCAUCAGAGGAUCAGCCACUUGGUGCAGCGCAUCCAGGCUUCCCCCUGGAACAACGCGCUAUCACAGGGCCUCACGGCACCCCCCAACAAGACUAGUAUGACCAAGCUGCUGGGCAGCAGUAGCCACAUUUCUAAGGGCCAGAAGGACCAGCCUCCUGUGGUGGACAGGGCACAGGGUGAGAUGGGCCCUUCCACAUCUCAGGAACAACGGCCAGCCAAGACCUGCAAGCCCAAGCACGUCGCCUGGGCACCGGAGCUUGUCCAAACACCCCUGCCCUGCUAGACAUCACCUGCCCCCAAGCAGCCAGACAGGACUGGACGCCCAGUACUCAACAGGGGACAUCUCUUCAGCAGACACAGAAGUCUGUUAAAAUUACCCUCCAAAAGAGGUUUUAUUAGCUGAAUAAAAAAACCUUCAAAUUGCAGACAAAGCCUGGUCCCACCAGCCUCUCUCUUCCUCGGGCUCCCUGAUGCUCCUCAACCUUUCUCCUCCCUCCUGUCUCUCUGCCACCAGACUGAGCACAUCGUGCCCCGUGGCCAGGACUUGAGGCCGGCCCUGGUCCCGUGGCGCCUUGUGGGGCAUCUCUGAGGAUCUGGGGCCUGCUGUGGAACCAGGAGCAGCCCAGGGUGUGCUCAGGCCCCAGGGGCUGCCGAGCCCGAGCCCCUCUUGUUCUUCAGCUGCACUGGAAAUGGCUUCAGGCUCAGCUGCUCCACACCCUUCCCGGGGAUGGAGGUGAAGCC
Corapipo altera (White-ruffed manakin) is the source of this 795-nucleotide long non-coding RNA. RefSeq lists it as uncharacterized. The record is from RefSeq and is a predicted model, not a curated record. Lineage: Eukaryota; Metazoa; Chordata; Aves; Passeriformes; Pipridae. The transcript is spliced from 3 exons.